UGUACCCUACUCUACGUGCACAGUUAUCAGCAGUUAGUUCGAGACGCUUGCGGACGUCAGUACAAAGUAAAUUCGGCGCAGUAGACGAGCUACACAUACAUAUAAAUAAUUGAUUACAUAAAUUUUUCAGCUGUUCAACCGUUUUCCAUCAUUUUCGACAUUUUCGAUUUUCGUGCGACGUUAAGUGACGCAGUAACGUUUGAACUUCUGUCGCUUGCUGUUCAGCAGUCGUCGCUGUCGUUCUUAUCGCUGACGUCGACGUGUUCGUGUUGUCAAUUUUCCAUAAAAAUAUUUUACUUAGCCACUACAUUUUUUCCAUGUGUGUGUGCAAAUAUUUCGCAUGAACUUGCGAGUGUUUAUGAUAAAAUAUGAAUUAAUGUUUGAAACGUGCUACUGUUAUUGUAGUUAUUGCAAUUUUUGCGUAGAGAUUUAAAACAAAAACGUAAACACAUAUAAAUAACAGCACAAACACUCAAAAGAAUAUUGCGAGUCCACAUUAAAACUACUAAAAGAAUUCUUACUGAAAUUUUUAAACAGUUGUACAUGUGCACUUGCGUACAUACACAUAGAAUGGUAUAUGGCGAAAACGUUAAAAAAUGCAGUAAUCUAAAUCGUGUAAAUUUUUUUUUGUGGUGUCAUUACCGUUUGAAAUUGUAAUGUGCAAAGCUUUUGUGCAAAAGUAAAUAAUAAUAAAAAAAAGAUAAUAAACAAAAAUAUGUGUCAAUGAUUGUGAAAAAAUAUUUCUUUUGCGUCAUUAUAUUAAAUAUCGAAAAAAAAUUAAAUAAAAAAUUGUUAACAAUUAAAUGUUGCCACCAAAAUUGCUGCUAAAUGUGUUAGUAGUGCAAAUUGUGCACAGAAAUUGUAAACUGCAAAAAUUGCAAAACAAUUAACAAUUGCUGUUUUACAACAAAAAUUUAUAUUUUCGUGACUAAACAAUUAUAAAAACAACACUUCCUCUUUAAACAAUGUUCGUUGCCGACCGUAAUUUUGUAUUUCUAAAGUGUCUUAAAUUAAUUAUUUAACAUACAUACACAACCGCAAACAAUCCAGCAAUACACAUACUCAUACAUCUAGUCACAUCAUAACUCUUUUAAAAGGAGCAAAACUGAGUAAAUCAUUUGCUUACAUACAUACAUAUACACACCAUAUAACGCUAGUGCAAACUGUAAAGAAUUUCAGAAGAUAUAAGACAUAUGUUUAUUGCUUUUAGAACCGAUAAGGAAACUAUACAUACUUACUUAUAUAUAUGAAAUAGUAAAAUUAGUGAACACAUAAAAAUUUAAUGAUAAAAAGCUUCUUGAAAGUUAAAUAACAUAAAUACAAGCGUGUACAUAUUGAUAGACAAACGCUUAUACAGAUAUAUAUACUCGUAUAUAUAUUUAUAAUACAUACUGUCAGGGAAUAUUAAUUGUAUAUAAAUAAAUAGUUGAGAUCUGUUAGUCUGCUCUAAAUGUGCCUAACCUCGAUAUUUGCAAGUCAUGUUGGAUCCAUCUAUACCCAAAUUGCUACUUACCAACACCCCUAGAUGUGUUAUGUGAUUUACUUGUAUGUACAUAUGUAUGUGAAUUGCGGAUUGGAAAUGCCUGCAUGCAGCCGUAUCGGUGCUAGAAGCCUCAGCUGUCAAAAAAAUGUGCGUCUUCUCAAAGCCUAGUAUCUUUACUAUACUUAUGCUUAUAUCUUUCCAUCUAUUUUAUAUAAUUCCAUGUU
Non-coding RNA from Bactrocera oleae (olive fruit fly), 1707 nucleotides. The record is from RefSeq and is a predicted model, not a curated record. Lineage: Eukaryota; Metazoa; Arthropoda; Insecta; Diptera; Tephritidae.